This 796-nucleotide ribosomal RNA is filed under the name Streptomyces sp. SCAU5016. Its description in RNAcentral is "bacterial SSU rRNA". It matches the Rfam family "Bacterial small subunit ribosomal RNA", at positions 33 to 843 of the family's 1533-position model. Lineage: Bacteria; Bacillati; Actinomycetota; Actinomycetes; Kitasatosporales; Streptomycetaceae. The record is from RNAcentral.
ACGCUGGCGGCGUGCUUAACACAUGCAAGUCGAACGAUGAACCACUUCGGUGGGGAUUAGUGGCGAACGGGUGAGUAACACGUGGGCAAUCUGCCCUGCACUCUGGGACAAGCCCUGGAAACGGGGUCUAAUACCGGAUACUGACCCGCCUGGGCAUCCAGGCGGUUCGAAAGCUCCGGCGGUGCAGGAUGAGCCCGCGGCCUAUCAGCUUGUUGGUGAGGUAACGGCUCACCAAGGCGACGACGGGUAGCCGGCCUGAGAGGGCGACCGGCCACACUGGGACUGAGACACGGCCCAGACUCCUACGGGAGGCAGCAGUGGGGAAUAUUGCACAAUGGGCGCAAGCCUGAUGCAGCGACGCCGCGUGAGGGAUGACGGCCUUCGGGUUGUAAACCUCUUUCAGCAGGGAAGAAGCGCAAGUGACGGUACCUGCAGAAGAAGCGCCGGCUAACUACGUGCCAGCAGCCGCGGUAAUACGUAGGGCGCGAGCGUUGUCCGGAAUUAUUGGGCGUAAAGAGCUCGUAGGCGGCUUGUCGCGUCGGUUGUGAAAGCCCGGGGCUUAACCCCGGGUCUGCAGUCGAUACGGGCAGGCUAGAGUUCGGUAGGGGAGAUCGGAAUUCCUGGUGUAGCGGUGAAAUGCGCAGAUAUCAGGAGGAACACCGGUGGCGAAGGCGGAUCUCUGGGCCGAUACUGACGCUGAGGAGCGAAAGCGUGGGGAGCGAACAGGAUUAGAUACCCUGGUAGUCCACGCCGUAAACGGUGGGCACUAGGUGUGGGCGACAUUCCACGUCGUCCG